ACGCUGGCGGCAGGCCUAACACAUGCAAGUCGAGCGGUAGCACAGGGGAGCUUGCUCCCUGGGUGACGAGCGGCGGACGGGUGAGUAAUGUCUGGGAAACUGCCUGAUGGAGGGGGAUAACUACUGGAAACGGUAGCUAAUACCGCAUAACGUCGCAAGACCAAAGAGGGGGACCUUCGGGCCUCUUGCCAUCAGAUGUGCCCAGAUGGGAUUAGCUAGUAGGUGGGGUAAUGGCUCACCUAGGCGACGAUCCCUAGCUGGUCUGAGAGGAUGACCAGCCACACUGGAACUGAGACACGGUCCAGACUCCUACGGGAGGCAGCAGUGGGGAAUAUUGCACAAUGGGCGCAAGCCUGAUGCAGCCAUGCCGCGUGUGUGAAGAAGGCCUUCGGGUUGUAAAGCACUUUCAGCGAGGAGGAAGGUGGUGAACUUAAUACGGUCAUCAAUUGACGUUACUCGCAGAAGAAGCACCGGCUAACUCCGUGCCAGCAGCCGCGGUAAUACGGAGGGUGCAAGCGUUAAUCGGAAUUACUGGGCGUAAAGCGCACGCAGGCGGUUUGUUAAGUCAGAUGUGAAAUCCCCGGGCUCAACCUGGGAACUGCAUUUGAAACUGGCAAGCUAGAGUCUCGUAGAGGGGGGUAGAAUUCCAGGUGUAGCGGUGAAAUGCGUAGAGAUCUGGAGGAAUACCGGUGGCGAAGGCGGCCCCCUGGACGAAGACUGACGCUCAGGUGCGAAAGCGUGGGGAGCAAACAGGAUUAGAUACCCUGGUAGUCCACGCUGUAAACGAUGUCGAUUUGGAGGUUGUGCCCUUGAGGCGUGGCUUCCGGAGCUAACGCGUUAAAUCGACCGCCUGGGGAGUACGGCCGCAAGGUUAAAACUCAAAUGAAUUGACGGGGGCCCGCACAAGCGGUGGAGCAUGUGGUUUAAUUCGAUGCAACGCGAAGAACCUUACCUACUCUUGACAUCCAGAGAACUUUCCAGAGAUGGAUUGGUGCCUUCGGGAACUCUGAGACAGGUGCUGCAUGGCUGUCGUCAGCUCGUGUUGUGAAAUGUUGGGUUAAGUCCCGCAACGAGCGCAACCCUUAUCCUUUGUUGCCAGCGGUUCGGCCGGGAACUCAAAGGAGACUGCCAGUGAUAAACUGGAGGAAGGUGGGGAUGACGUCAAGUCAUCAUGGCCCUUACGAGUAGGGCUACACACGUGCUACAAUGGCAUAUACAAAGAGAAGCGACCUCGCGAGAGCAAGCGGACCUCAUAAAGUAUGUCGUAGUCCGGAUUGGAGUCUGCAACUCGACUCCAUGAAGUCGGAAUCGCUAGUAAUCGUAGAUCAGAAUGCUACGGUGAAUACGUUCCCGGGCCUUGUACACACCGCCCGUCACACCAUGGGAGUGGGUUGCAAAAGAAGUAGGUAGCUUAACCUUCGGGAGGGCGCUUACCACUUUGUGAUUCAUGACUGGGGUGAAGUCGUAACAAGGUAACCGUAGGGGAACCUGCGG
Molecule: ribosomal RNA, 1494 nt
Filed under: Serratia sp. PKRS-1
Lineage: Bacteria; Pseudomonadati; Pseudomonadota; Gammaproteobacteria; Enterobacterales; Yersiniaceae
Description: bacterial SSU rRNA
Rfam family: Bacterial small subunit ribosomal RNA
Source: RNAcentral